UUGACCUCUGACCUCAAAUCAGGUAGGAUUACCCGCUGAACUUAAGCAUAUCA
This 53-nucleotide ribosomal RNA is filed under the name Oligoporus balsameus. RNAcentral's name for it is "partial 28S ribosomal RNA". Lineage: Eukaryota; Fungi; Basidiomycota; Agaricomycetes; Polyporales; Postiaceae. The record is from RNAcentral.